AUUGAACGCUGGCGGCAGGCCUAACACAUGCAAGUCGAGCGGAUGAAGGGAGCUUGCUCCUGGAUUCAGCGGCGGACGGGUGAGUAAUGCCUAGGAAUCUGCCUGGUAGUGGGGGAUAACGUCCGGAAACGGGCGCUAAUACCGCAUACGUCCUGAGGGAGAAAGUGGGGGAUCUUCGGACCUCACGCUAUCAGAUGAGCCUAGGUCGGAUUAGCUAGUUGGUGGGGUAAAGGCCUACCAAGGCGACGAUCCGUAACUGGUCUGAGAGGAUGAUCAGUCACACUGGCGGGGGGAGCAGGUACGGACUCGGGGGGGAGGCAGAGGUGAGGAGUGUAAGAGAAUGGGCGAAUGGUUGAACGAGUCGGGCGGGUUGGGGGAAGAAGUUCGUCGGGUGCUAAAGUGCGUUGAGUUGGGAGGAAAGACAGUAAGUUAAUUCCGGGCUGGUUUGACGUGAAGAACAGAAUACACACGGGCUCACUCCCUGCCAGCAGCCAAGGAAAUAGACGAAGAGCCCCCGUCCGCCC
RNAcentral lists this ribosomal RNA (524 nucleotides) under uncultured bacterium. Its description in RNAcentral is "partial 16S ribosomal RNA". It matches the Rfam family "Bacterial small subunit ribosomal RNA", at positions 35 to 539 of the family's 1533-position model. The record is from RNAcentral.